GCGGAGAUCGGCGCGGGCGAAGGCUUCGCCAAUCUGGUCAGGGCCGGAAGGCAGCAGCCACAACGAAAUCCCCUUCGGGUCGUGUUCGGUCUCCACCCU
Molecule: signal recognition particle RNA, 99 nt
Filed under: Brevundimonas sp.
Lineage: Bacteria; Pseudomonadati; Pseudomonadota; Alphaproteobacteria; Caulobacterales; Caulobacteraceae
Also listed under: 2 other names
Description: signal recognition particle sRNA small type
Rfam family: Bacterial small signal recognition particle RNA
About the family: The signal recognition particle (SRP) is a universally conserved ribonucleoprotein involved in the co-translational targeting of proteins to membranes. Archaeal SRP consists of a 7S RNA and homologues of the eukaryotic SRP19 and SRP54 proteins.
Source: RNAcentral